CAUUUCUUUGUUAAAAUUUUAAAAUUCCUGUCUUCCAGCCAGAGGAUCCUUUCCUGUUCAAUCAACAGCAACAGGCUCACAAUCAAGAUUCUAUUAUGCAUUUUUCAAGGGCUUUUUCUUGAAGAUUACAUUUCUUGGCAGGAGCUUUCUCCGUUUGCCAGGUCUCACAGACUAAUGGCCUGGGAUUUCGGCUGCAAUGAGAAGAUGUAGAGCUCUUGGAAGUGGCAGCAAGAGUCCCUAUGGUAGGAACACGAGUGAGGCUUCAUACCCUGGCAAUGUAUCACAUUGGAUGACGUUUCACUGUGAUGGUGCUCCCAGGAGUCAUUCAUUCAUCACCAUGGUCUGUGACAUGCAUUCACUUUGCUACAUUUCUGUUGCCGCAGCCUUUCCUUGUUAUACAAGACAUUAGGUUUUCUGAGAAGCAGCUCCUGGCUUGCUUGUUUGCCCAAAUUCUUCACAUGAUGUAUCACACUGCAAACAGGGCAUCUGAGGGUACAGUCAGGCUGAGCAGGGAUGGGGGCUCCUGCUCCUCUAAGCUCUUGAGCCUGCCUCAGACCCGAGCAUGGAUUUGUGACCAGGCAGCACAACACUAGCCAAGCCAGGCAGGAAUUCAAGUUCCACUGCACUGUGUAGGCACAUCAGUUUAGAUGUGAGAAUACUGGCAUUUAUAUGACCUGUAUGCUAGACUACAUCAGUAAAAAUUUUAUAUCUAUCCCUGUUAAUUUGGUAUCAUUUUUAAGGGAUUAAAUGAAGAAGUGUAACUAUUCUGACAGACAGCUAUUUCAGCAGUGAACAAGUUGCCAUAUCAGUGAGAUAAAUAUUUAUUUAAUUUGUCAGUCUCAAUGAGUACAGUCAUUGCCAGCUAUUUCAGAGAUAAACCUAAGAGUAUUGUACACAAGGAUAAAUAUCUUCCUUGUAGAAGAAAUGCAUUUUUUCCAUAGGUUUAAGGGUAUUCUGAGUAUAGCUGAAUUUGAGUGACAGGUGUAAUAUUACAGUCACUGUCAUAUAUGAAUGUACUUGGAAACAAAUAUAAAUAUUUCAUUUAUAUAUUGUUUUAUUCCUUUAAAAUCAAAGU
Molecule: long non-coding RNA, 1075 nt
Filed under: Anser cygnoides (Swan goose)
Lineage: Eukaryota; Metazoa; Chordata; Aves; Anseriformes; Anatidae
Description: lncRNA (ENSACDG00005001990.1)
Source: RNAcentral